UACGGGGGGGGCAAGCGUUGUUCGGAAUCAUUGGGCGUAAAGGGCGUGUAGGCGGUCUGUUAAGUCAUGUGUGAAAUCCCUCGGCUCAACCGGGGAACGACGCAUGAAACUGACAAGCUAGAGUACCAAAGAGGGGGGUGGAAUUCCCGGUGUAGCGGUGAAAUGCGUAGAUAUCGGGAGGAAUACCGAUGGCGAAGGCAGCCCCCUGGGAUAACACUGACGCUCAUGCACGAAAGCGUGGGGAGCAAACAGG
RNAcentral lists this ribosomal RNA (253 nucleotides) under uncultured bacterium. Its description in RNAcentral is "partial 16S ribosomal RNA". It matches the Rfam family "Bacterial small subunit ribosomal RNA", at positions 524 to 776 of the family's 1533-position model. The record is from RNAcentral.